UGAUGAGUUACACUAGGUACAGUAGACUAGUACUUCAUAGCUUGAAUACUAUGUGUGUCCUGUAGGGGGAUUCUGGAGGCCCUCUGAUCUACCAGGACCACGUGUCAGGUCGCUUUCAGCUGCAGGGCAUCACGUCCUGGGGAGACGGCUGUGGAGAGAAGGGCAAGCCUGGGGUCUACACACGGGUCAGUGCCUUCUCCGACUGGAUACUGGCUGAGAUACUGAGUGAGUCACAUUAACAGUAACACCGAUAGCCAUAGACUUGUCACAAGAGAUCGGCAUAGACAUAUUACUUUCUUAUGUAGUAAACGUUAGCUCUGGUUGUCUGGCUAUAAAUCUGGAACAUUUCUAUCCUGUGAUAUAUAUAUAUUUUUAGUUGAUAUUGUACUCAACCAAAUAAAAACAGAGAUAGAAAAACCAGUUUCUCUACUGUUUUGCCUAAUCAGCAUUCUAAUAUCCACUAUCCCUUCUUCUUGGUUUACCUAGUGUCCUUUGGGAGCCGGGAGCCGACAUGUCCUGAGCUGCUGAAGACGUCGGAGCUGUCGGAGGAGCAGCAGAAGUCAGAGUUCAGCUCUCUGUGUCGCUUCUACGCCCAGUCCUGCCCCCCCAGCCAGGGGACUGCUGCCUGCAGCCUUCUGGCCGAGGAGAAGUGUCUCAGCCGCUUCAAGAAGUGCCGUAAGUGUUUGAGCCGUAACACUCACAGAUAUUUUUCUGUUUUACUGUGACAUUCAUGAAGAAACCUGAAGUUAGUAUGAGGACCAUGAACUCUCGACUGCCCUAUGUGGAGUGAAUAAAAAUGAUACAAUUAAUGAUACAAUCGCUGUAUUGUAUGCAGCAAUAUGUAAUGAUGAUAAUAUUGUUGUGACGCAGAUGGAUAUUGGGUAUUAUAAUGAGCUAAUUAUCUGCAGAUUACUCAAAAUAUGUCUUUCUCUGGACCUUAAUCAGGUAUCUUUCAUUUGUCCUCUCUCCUCCUCAGAGCUGCAUUCGUUCCUGCAGACCCUGCUGAACCUUCUCCAGAGAGCAGAUACAUUAAAGACAAGGUAGACCUGACCUUCUUCACCCAAACCCUGCCUCAGCUGGUCGAACACAUCUACAGCUCAGCCCUGAACGCCAAGGAAAGGGAGAGGAGGGAGAAUCCACGGGGAACAGAACAGGUAGGGGGUACUGUCCGGUCAGGGCCAGUGGAGACGGGUCCUGGGCUGUUCCAGAAGGUUGGCCCCCUGGUGGCCGACUGGGAGAACUGCCUCAGGGGCAUUGCUGAGGAGCUGGACACGCAGACACAUGGACAGACAGAGGGACAGACAGAUGGACAGACACACGACUCCAAACCACUGAGCCAAGAAGGGAGACUUUUCCUCCAGGUAGACUAUAGUGAACUCAACUCUUCUUUCACACUUUAAAAGGUUUGCCAGGGUCACUUUGUCUGUCUGCUACAGUAAUGAUCGUCUCCCAUGAGGACCCUGAGUUGUACUAUUUUACUGUAUAUUCAGUAGCUAUAGCAACACUACUUAUAGGACCCCGUGUUGUACUAUUUUACUGUAUAUUCAGUAGCUAUAGCAACACUACUUAUAGGACCCCGUGUUGUACUAUUUUACUGUAUAUUCAGUAGCUAUAGUAACACUACUUAUAGGACUGUGUGUUGUACUAUUUUACUGUAUAUUCAGUAGCUAUAGCAACACUACUUAUAGGACUGUGUGUUGUACUAUUUUACUGUAUAUUCAGUAGCUAUAGUAACACUACUUAUAGGAUUGUGUGUUGUACUAUUUUACUGUAUAUUCAGUAGCUAUAGCAACACUACUUAUAGGAC
Molecule: long non-coding RNA, 1807 nt
Organism: Oncorhynchus mykiss (rainbow trout)
Lineage: Eukaryota; Metazoa; Chordata; Actinopteri; Salmoniformes; Salmonidae
Source: Ensembl